UAGACCUUUGCUUCACAGAGAGUCAUACUUUGGGAGAAUAGAAACAUAAAAAAAUCUGAACAGGAGACCACUAUUGCCAGGUGCUGAGCUUUUCCCUUUUCCCUCUCUCAACAAGAGUAGAUCCUGGGACUGUGGGUAUGCUGUGAGUAAUCCUGGGGAUGCUAAUGAUAGCUGUGAGCAGAAUUAAGCAUUUGCUGCUCUUGUGAAGCAGUAUCACGGAUGAGAUCACUUUAGCUUUCC
RNAcentral lists this long non-coding RNA (240 nucleotides) under Anas platyrhynchos platyrhynchos (common mallard). RNAcentral describes it as "lncRNA (ENSAPLG00000018494.1)". The record is from RNAcentral. Lineage: Eukaryota; Metazoa; Chordata; Aves; Anseriformes; Anatidae.